GGUAGUGGGAGCUGCCAGUUUCACAUGUUUUAACUCUGUCAGAGCACUUUGAAAAAGUGGUCUGUGGUAUCUGGCUCUCGAGAUUCGGAGAACGAUGCCUCUUCGAUUUUUGAGAAAGCAAUCAUGCUGGGGGUCUGACUCUCGAGAUUCGAAGAGCAGUGUCUCUUCGAUUUUUGAGGAAGUAAUCAUGUUGGGAGUCUGGCUCUCGAGAUUCGGAGGGCGGUGCCUCUUCGAUUUUGGAGCAAGCAAUCUUGUUGGGAGUGUUGUCUCGAAUGUGAGUAAAGGUUGGGCAUGUUUGCUAGUCUACCUUGCCACGAAGCACAAAGGUUGACACACAGGGAACUUUCCAAUUAUCCAGCAAUGGUACUGUUCCUUUACCCUCUCUUCGAUUUUGAGAAAGUAGUCAUGUUGGGAGUCUGGCUCUCGAGAUUCGGAGGACGGUGCCUCUUCGAUUUUGGAGCAAGCAAUCUUGUUGGGAGUGUUUUUCUCGAAUGUGAGUAAAGGUUGGGCAUGUUUGCUAGUCUACCUUGCCACGAAGCACAGAGGUUGACACACAGGGACUUUUCAAUUAUCCAGCAGUGGUACUGUUCCUUUACCCUUGUGGGUAAUAAUAUGGUAGCUAGACCUUCAAAAUUUAUGUGUCUAAACUAAACUUUGUUAGUGCUGUUUCUUUGCUAUUCUUUUACCUUUCUUGGUCAGAGCAAUGUAGUGGGAGCUGCAAGCUUCACGUGCUCAACUUUGGCAGAGAACUUUGGCAAAGUUAUCUGUGGUACCCAUGAGCUAUUGUUGCGUGUGGGAAGUGGGUGAUUGAACAGUAAGAUUUCAUGUGCUUUCUAUUUCACCAGAAGUCUUCGACAGAAUGCCCAUAAUUUCUGCAAAGCUGAGUGUGCGUGUGACAGGUGCUGACAAGGCUAGAAAAGUAGGUGCCUCUUUCGAUUUCUGAGAUCGGCCCUCGUGGUCUCUGAGCAGCCCAGCUUUUGAGAAAGCGAGCGCCUCUUCGAUUGAUUCGGAGAACGAUGCCUCAUCGAUUUUUGAGAAAGUAAUCAUGCUGGGGGUCUGGCUCUCGAGAUUCGAGGAGCAGUGUCUCUUCGAUUUUUGAGAAAGUAAUCAUGUUGGGAGUCUGGCUCUCGAGAUUCGGAGGGCGGUGCCUCUUCGAUUUUGGAGCAAGCAAUCUUGUUGGGAGUGUUAAAAAUUGCUAUUCUUUUACCCUUCUUGGUCAGAGCGAUGUAGUGGGAGCUGCAAGCUUCACGUGCUCAACUUUGGCAGAGAACUUUGGCAAAGUUAUCUGUGGUACCCAUGAGCUAUUGUUGCGUGUGGGAAGUGGGUGAUUGAACAGUAAGAUUCAUGUGUUUUCUACUUCCCCAGAAGUCUUUUGACAGAAUGCCUAUAAUUUCCGCAAAGCUGAGUGUGCGUGUGACAGGUGCUGACAAGGCUGAAAAAGUAGGUGCCUCUUCGAUUUCUGAGAUCGGCCCUCGUGGUCUCUGGGUAGCCCAGCUUUUGAGAAAGCGAGCGCCUCUUCGAUUUCUGAGAUCGGCCUUCGUGGUCUUUGAGCAGCCCAACUUUUGAGAAAGCAAACGCCUCUUCGAUUUCUGAGAUCAACCCUCGUGAUCUCUAAGCAGCCCAGCUUUUGAGAAAGCAAACGCCUCUUCGAUUUCUGAAGCUCCGUCGAGUGCAGAUUUUUAUAGGGGCUGCAUUAAGUUCCAAAGCACACUUGAAUCUCCACCAGUAGAAGCUUCAUUCUUGCACUUCUAAGAUCUUGAUUUGUCCGACCUCUUCUCUCUUCAACACCUUUUAAAAAUGUCUGGCCCCUCCGACCGUCGUUUUGACUUGAAACCUUGUUGAAGAGGCAGCCCCGCCUUCUCCAGACAACAUAUGGCGCCCAUCCUUCGUCUCCCCUACUGGUCCUCUUACCGUUGGGGAUUCCGUGAUGAAGAAUGAUAUGACCGCUGCGGUGGUGGCCAGGAACCUUCUCACUCCCAAAGAUAACAGACUACUUUCCAAACGGUCUGAUGAGUUAGCUGUUAAGGAUUCGCUGGCUCUCAGUGUUCAGUGUGCAGGUUCUAUGUCUAAUAUGGCCCAACGCCUAUUUGCUCGAACCCCGCCAAGUUGAAUCAUUGGCGGCUGAAGUGAUGAGUCUCAAACAGGAGAUUAGGGGGCUCAAGCAAUGAGAAUAAACAGUUGCACCGGCUCGCACAUGACUAUGCUACAAACAUGAAGAGGAAGCUUGACCAGAUGAAGGAAAACUGAUGGUCAGGUUUUACUUGAUCAUCAGAGAUUUUGUGGUUUGUUCCAAAGGCAUUUAUUGCCUUCGUCUUCUGGGGCUGUACCGCGUAAUGAAGCUCCAAAUGAUCAACCUCUGAUGCCUCCUCCUUCUAGGGUUCUGUCCAGUACUGAGGCUCCAAAUAAUCCACCUCCGGUGCCUUCUCUUUCUGGGGCUCUACCGACUGCUGAGACUUCUCCUAAGCAACCUUUGUGAAGGCUCCCUCUUGUGUGUUUAUUUUGACUCAUGUAUAUGUACAUAUUUGUAGCUUAUCGGGGAUAUCAAUAAAUAAUAAGCUUUCCUUCAUUUCAACGUAUUGUGUUAAAUACACCAAAGCCUUCUUCGCUAAGUUCUUUGAAUUUUCUUUUGUUGAAGCUUGUAAGUUGAAGCUUUCUGAGUGGAGCAUGUAGGUUGGGGUAGUGUUCCCUUAAAUUUCCCGAGUGAGGAAAACUUCUCGGUUGGAGACUUGGAAAAUCCAAGUCACUGAGUGGGAUCGGCUAUAUGAAUCUUAGAACGCCAUUGUGCUCGAUCCUGUGUCAUGUCCUUUGUUAGAUCCAAGUACUCUAAGUCUUUUCUUAGAGUCUCUUCCAAAGUUUUCCUAGGUCUUCCUCUACCCCUUCGGCCCUGAACCUCUGUCCCAUAGUCGCAUCUUCUAAUCGGAGCGUCAGUAGGCCUUCUUUGCACAUGUCCAAACCACCGUAACCGAUUUUCUCUCAUCUUUCCUUCAAUUUCGGCUACUCCUACUUUACCCCGGAUAUCCUCAUUCCUAAUCUUAUCCUUUCUCGUGUGCCCACACAUCCAACGAAGCAUCCUCAUCUCCGCUACACCCAUUUUGUGUACGUGUUGAUGUUUCACCGCCCAACAUUCUGUGCCAUACAGCAUCGCCGGCCUUAUUGCCGUCCUAUAAAAUUUUCCCUUGAGCUUCAGUGGCAUACGGCGGUCACACAACACGCCGGAUGCACUCUUCCACUUCAUCCAUCCAGCUUGUAUUCUAUGGUUGAGAUCUCCAUCUAAUUCUCCGUUCUUUUGCAAGAUAGAUCCUAGGUAACGAAAACGGUCGCUCUUUGGUAUUUCUUGAUCUCCGAUCCUCACCCCUAACUCGUUUUGGCCUCCAUUUGCAUUGAACUUGCACUCCAUAUAUUCUGUCUUUGAUCGGCUUAGGCGAAGACCUUUAGAUUCCAACACUUCUCUCCAAAGGUUAAGCUUUGCAUUUACCCCUUCCUGAGUUUCAUCUAUCAACACUAUAUCGUCUGCGAAAAGCAUACACCAAGGAAUAUCAUCUUGAAUAUGUCCUGUUAACUCAUCCAUUACCAACGCAAAAAGGUAAGGACUUAAGGAUGAGCCUUGAUGUAAUCCUACAGUUAUGGGAAAGCUUUCGGUUUGUCCUUCAUGAGUUCUUACGGCAGUCUUUGCUCCUUCAUACAUAUCCUUUAUAGCUUGGAUAUAUGCUACUCGUACUCCUUUCUUCUCUAAAAUCCUCCAAAGAAUGUCUCUUGGGACCCUAUCAUACGCUUUUUCCAAAUCUAUAAAGACCAUGUGUAAAUCCUUUUUUCCCAUCUCUAUAUCUUUCCAUCAAUCUUCGUAAGAGAUAGAUUGCCUCCAUGGUUUGAGCGCCCUGGCAUGAACCCGAAUUGGUUGUCCGAAACCCGUGUCUCUUGCCUCAAUCUAUGCUCAAUGACUCUCUCCCAGAGCUUCAUUGUAUGACUCAUUAGCUUAAUACCCCUAUAGUUCAUGCAAUUUUGUACGUCGCCCUUAUUCUUGUAGAUAGGCACCAAAGUGCUCGUUCGCCACUCAUUUGGCAUCUUCUUCGUUUUCAAAAUCCUAUUGAAAAGGUCAGUGAGCCAUGUUAUACCUGUCUCUCCCAAAAGUUUCCACACUUCGAUUGGUAUAUCGUCUGGGCCUAUUGCUUUUUUAUGCUUCAUCUUCUUCAAAGCUACAACCACUUCUUCCUUCCGGAUUCGACGAUAAAAAGAGUAGUUUCUACACUCUUCUGAGUUACUCAACUCCCCUAAAGAAGCACUCAUUUCAUGUCCUUCAUUGAAAAGAUUAUGAAAAUAACCUCUCCAUCUGUCUUUAACCGCGUUCUCUGUAGCAAGAACCUUUCCAUCCUCAUCCUUGAUGCACCUCACUUGGUUUAGGUCCCUUGUCUUCUUUUCCCUUGCUCUAGAUAGUUUAUAGAUUUCCAACUCUCCUUCUUUGGUAUCUAGUCGUUUAUACAUAUCGUCGUAAGCCGCUAACUUAGCUUCUCUGACAGCUUUCUUCGCCUCUUGCUUCGCUUUUCUAUACCUUUCACCAUUUUCAUCGGUCCUCUCCUUGUAUAAGGCUUUACAACAUUCCUUCUUAGCCUUCACCUUUGUUUGUACCUCCUCAUUCCACCACCAAGAUUCCUUUUUGGUGUGGGGCAAAGCCCUUGGACUCUCCUAAUACCUCUUUUGCUACUUUUCGGAUACAACUAGCCAUGGAAUCCCACAUUUGGCUAGCUUCCCCCUCUCUAUCCCACACACAUUGGGUGAUUACCUUCUCUUUGAAAAUUGCUUGUUUUUCUUCUUUUAGAUUCCACCAUCUAGUCCUUGGGCACUUCCAAGUCUUGUUCUUUUGUCUUACUCUUUUGAUAUGUACAUCCAUCACCAACAAGCGAUGUUGAUUAGCCACGCUCUCUCCUGGUAUAACUUUGCAAUCCUUACAAGUUAUACGAUCCCCUUUCCUCAUUAGAAGAAAAUCUAUUUGUGUUUUUGACGACCCACUCUUGUAGGUGAUCACAUGUUCUUCUCUCUUCUUAAAGAAGGUGUUGGCUAAGAAGAGAUCAUAUGCCAUUGCAAAAUCCAAGAUAGCUUCCCCAUCCUCGUUUCUCUCCCCAAAACCAUGACCACCAUGAAAACCUCCAUAGUUGCCUGUCUCCCUGCCCACGUGUCCAUUUAAAUCUCCUCCUAUAAAUAACUUCUCCGUCUGAGCAAUUCCUUGCACCAAGUCUCCAAGAUCUUCCCAAAAUUUCUCCUUCGAACUCGUAUCCAACCCUACUUGAGGUGCGUACGCACUAAUCACAUUGAUAAGUUCUUGUCCUAUUACAAUCUUGAUUGCCAUGAUUCUAUCUCCUACCCUCUUGACAUCUACAACAUCUUGUACCAAGGUCUUGUCCACGAUGAUGCCAACACCGUUUCUCGUUCUAUUUGUGCCCGAAUACCAAAGUUUAAACCCUGAGUUUUCUAGAUCCUUUGCCUUACUACCAACCCACUUAGUUUCUUGUAGGCACAUAAUAUUUAUCCGUCUCCUCACCAUAACUUCCACUACUUCCAUAGAUUUUCCCGUUAAGGUUCCUAUAUUCCACGUUCCUAAACGCAUUUUGCUCUCUUGAACUCUACCCUUUUGUCCUAGCUUCUUCACCCUCCCCCGUCUAAUAAGAUCAAAGUACUUCUUUUGUGUGUCCCGGGUAAAGUUGAUAGGAGCAUAUGCUCCCAAACAACUUUGAGUGGAGUCGUUCGAAAAGAAGUUUCUAUGGCCCCCUUGCUCAUUUAACACUGCAUCCGGGUGCCGAUGGAGAUACAGCGACCCUUGCUCACUUAUCACUGUGCUCGGGCCACACAGCGCGCCACUUACGGGUGACGCCCUAGCUUUAGCGCGAUUUUGUUCUGGAUUCAUUUUCAUAAGGAUUCGACGUGAUCAUGGAGUGCCGGCUGUCGACUACCUGACGCCCUCCCCCUCCUCCUUUAUCCGGGCUUGGGACCGGCCAUGUAAGACAUAGGCGGAGUUUGAAAGCACUUCGAUAAAAUAAAAAAAUAAAAAAAGUGGAGCAAAUUUCACCAAGAUGUUUUGAGAUAAAACCUCAUGUCUGAAUGGGGCAAUGGACCAUAGGUCCGUGACACAACCCUAACUUAGACCUAAGCAGGGAAGCAAGGGAAUUAUUGAUGAAACCUGGGAACAACUGAAAGAAGUGGUUUGCAAACAAGUGGAACCAGAGCCCACAGUUUAGGUUGGGACACUAGGCUCAUUAUUAUCAUCAAGGUGGAGCAGACAUAUGCUCAGAUGGCUAACCAAUUACCCAAUAGGUGGAGCAGACUCAAGAAAAUCCUAACGGGGUUCAAAGUGGACUUGCAAGGGACCAAUAAAUCCUUAAGAUGGAGUUGCCUGUGAGAUUUUUCAGCAAAUUGGGAUGAUGAUACCUAGAGAUGGACGGUUAUGAUAAUUCAAGGUGGGACUUGAACGAGGAAUUGUGAUUUGAUCCAAGGUGGAGAAUGUUAGGAAUUGUGUAUCAAAUAAAAUUGUCCCAUAUUAGAGAAGUGAAUGUCCAUACUGGGGUAUAUUAAGAAUGAGUCUUCCUAAGUAACACUGAUGACUUUUGAGGAUAAAAUUUCACACAUAUGGGUCCAUAAAGCCUGACCCAACCACAUAAGGGACCUAGUUGGUAAGGUUAGGAACAAUAACAAUGCAAACCGGGGGAGCAGCAACCAAUAGAUACUGCAACCCAUCUUUCCUUUUUUAUUGAGAAAGUAAUUAAAAUUGAUCGAAAAUAAGUGCUUCUAGUCACGAUAACAAUGUUAAGAGUAACAGAAAAUAUACCAGUUGUGCUGCCCAUACCUCACACUAAAAUAGAUCAAAAUAAACCCACAGCUCAUUAUAAGUAGAUUAGAACAACCCUCAUGACAACAAUAAGUGUUAUAAAGAAACACUUAAUAAAGCUCAAUUGGAGGGAGGGAAAAACCCCUUGGCUAUCCACUUACCAUGUUCUAAUUGAUUAUUACUUGUGAAUUCCCUUGGUUCCUCUAAAGUGUAAUGUUAUCAAGGACUUACAUGUGAGCAACCCUUUAUUUGCAUGUCAUUUCUUUAAUCGAAUUAAUAACAAGAACUUUAAAAUGAUGCAAGAAAUCCAUCAAGAAAAAGAAUCUAUGUAUUCCAUUCCAUAUAUUGAUCCUGUUUGUGCGUCCAUUUCCAGCUCGAAAAUAAAUGUUUAAACAUCAAAAUAUCACUUAAUACCUCAAUUUCUAAAUACCUGAAGUACAAAGAACCACCACAAAAACUAUCAUUCUGCAUCACAAAAAUUUGAGCUCUAUAAUCUAUAUUAUGGAAAAUGGUAAAAAAUAACACAACAUAUUAACCAACACAUGGUUUUUUUUAGUAAUGUCCAAAAUAUGCAUGGUAUUCUAGCAAGUUGCAAAUUAUCUCAAAAUACUGCAAAUAGAAACAAAUACUUACCUGCCGUACGGCAACUAGAUACUUAAUACCCAAUAGGCUUCCAUGACGAACUUCCCAUUCUGGUCUACACUGAACAAAUCAAAAUAUCAGAAGCAUAAAAACCACACCACCAAUAAUAACACCCAAGUGGAACCAAUGUACAGCACUAAAAGCAUUGCAAUGCCAUAGCUGACAUUUACCUGCAUCUUCAGCAAGAUGUUCAAUGUUUCAUGAACUAAACUGGGAUGCAUGUAUUUGAACACAACACCCAAUGCUUGAGCACAGGUUUCACGUACUGGAGCAACUACCUGAUCAGAGACAUAAUCUCCAAAACUGCACCCAUAAAUAAACAAAAAACAUAUAUUUUAUCAUUUGAAGAUGCAUGGAGUUUCGUACUAACAGCCACAUAAUUUAGAACUAAGCAAAUUAAUAAAUUACCAUACCUACUUUUUUUUUUCUUUUUUUUUAAUUCUUUUGGGAAAAAGGGCAGACUUGACUAAAAGGAAAAAAGCCAUACCGGUCUAGUGACAAGACACACAAGAAACGAAUUGCACAAUCUUGAAGGAAUUCGCAAUUUUUAAGCCAUGAAUGCCUAGCCAGUUUAACCAAGUUCAUCAUAUCACUAUUUUCAGAGAGCCUCUUCAGCACAUCCAUUUUCUGAAAGGACCCCUUAUUGUGAGACUGGCCCUUUAACUCAGUUGUCUGAGCUAGUUGCUCACAUGGGUCCACCUUAACAGAGCUGAAAUGAAGUUGACCAUUAACCUGCGCAGAAGGCGACUUACAACCACUGUCUUCUACCUGUAUACUGACAUCAAAAUCCCCACUCUUGCUGGAAGAGACCAUGGUAUCCACAAAUGGAGAUGUAACACCUUCAAACUUCAGCUUUUUCAGUUCUGGUUCAGAUUCAUCAAUGGGAACUUGCAUAUUCAAAUCAAUCUCUCUGUCUCUCUUCAUUGUAGAUGCUGUGCAUUUAUUUUCUAACUCCCCAAUCAUUGCACCCUCCAGGCUCAAAUCAGAAAUAAAUGCUCCAGCAGAAGCACCUUGAUGGGUUAAAAUUUCUCUCAAAGCCAUCACACUACCAUGGCGUACUUCCCAAACUUGGAAAAACAAAAAAUUACAAACAAGAUUGUAAGAUUAAAUACCAUUUAAAAGCAUAUUAUCAAAAUAUAUGUAUAUAUGGAUACAUAUAUACACAUAGAUAGAACAGGGCAGGCACUUAAAGGAUACACCAAGAAGGCAGCCUAUGCCCUGCUAGAAAUAAAAAUAACAGAAGCCAACCUUGAUCAAACAUAUCUAGGAUUAGUUGCUCAGCGAAGCUUUGAAAAGGCCACCGCCCCUCUCCAUCAUGUUCAAUUUUUUCUUCAUGAUUAUCGAAGUCCAAAAUUUCCUGCAUAGCUAAUAAACAUUAAAUGCAGAAACUUAUUCCCCCACAAAGGACGAAACUUGUGAGAAAAAAGUAACCAAAUUAAUUCUGCAAUAGAACAAUGGUUAGGAAAUUUACACCUGAAUAUCAUAAGAUGUGAAACCUUUUAAACAAUAGCAAAUGCGAAAAUGAAUAAUAGCAUGUAGAGAUCAGCCUGUAAAAGUCUAGUGAAACCUAGUACCAAAUCUCAAGCAAACCAGUGCAUCAAUAUCCUAGCUAGGCUAGUAGAAGACUAAACCUUCAAAUUGUAAACUUUUGAGCCAUCCUAAGUUCAUAGGCUUACCCUUGCUUUGCAAAGAGGCUGUUUCCAUGACGAUAACUAAUUAUAUUUCUUUCUUUCUUCACCCUUAUAAUCAUCCCCUUCAUAAUCCAAUCUCCCCUUAACAAGUAAGGCUUAGUCAUAAAUCAAAAACUUAAAUGAUAAUUCAAGAAACCUUAUCAUGAAAAUUGCAUGCAAAAUUUAUCCAACAAAUACAGUGUGUUCUUAGGAUUUUGGUUCAUCAAAGUUAGUGUCCUAUUUUGUGUGGGAUUGUAUUAUGGAAAUUCAAGGUAACUUCUCCUAAAAGGACUAGGACGGGAUCAAAGUUUCCUUGUACAAUUAGAUUGGGAAUAGUAGACGAUAAUUUGGCAAAGGAAAGGAAGUGUGCUUUCCUAUUAGGCUAUUUCAUAUAGAAUAGGAGACUUAAUCAGAAAAUAGGCGUGUAAACCACACCCUAUACUUAUAAAUAGGGUGCGGCAAGGCUAGGGAAACAGAGAGAAAAGCCAGAGACAGCUGAGAGGGACAAAGAGGGAUUAGUUCUAGAGUUUUUCAAAAGUACUGUAACUCUAUUAUUAAUCAAAGAGGCCGUGAUUUCUACUCUAUUAUUAAUCAAAGAGGCUGUGAUUUCUCUACCCAGGGAAAUCACAACUGGAAGGAAAAAUCCAGAAGAGUGUCAGAAUUAUACCACGUGUCCCUCAAUUGCCUACACUUGAAGUUUACUCCAUGAGCUUUUUUAAAUGACACUCCUUGAAAAUAUAUAUUACUCAACACAACAAUAUAAAAAAUACAAUAACAGAGAUACAUCAAACAGCAAGAUCCAGAAGAGAGUCAGAAUUAUAACACGCGUCCCUCAAUUGCCUACACUUGAAGUUUACUCCAUGAGCGUUUUUUAAGGACACUCCUUGAAAAUAUAUAUUACUCAACACAACAAUAUAAAAAAUACAAUAACAGAGAUACAUCAAGAGCUUCAUAUUUUAUUACAACCAAUUAAGAAGUAUUUGUAUGAAAUAGCAUACAACAUCAAAUCAGCUAGCACAAAAAGAAAAAAAAAUGAUCAGUAGGCAACCUAGUACCUUGUUAGUCCCAAAUGAGUCAGGACAUGCCCCCUUUGGUGGUAUAUUUUGAGCACAUGGAACCUCCAUAUCCCCAUCAUCAGACCAACCUUUUGACUGGUCUUUCGAAGUGAUUUUUGCUUUUCGUUUUAAAAGAUUCAAUUCCCUUGGACUUGGCCUUUCUGAUACGACACUAGGAACCAUAUUUGCAACUAAUUGCUGAAUAUUAUGUGAUGUAGAAACUCUUGGAUAUGUCCCGUUCCCAUGCGAGUUGUGUGAAAUAAGGUCUUCAUCUUUUAUCAUAUCAUUCACAUCCAUGAACUGCUCACAUAUAUCCAAACCUGUAUAAUAAACAGUGAGAUUUCUAUUAGAUCCAAGAGAUUGAAUUGCAAGUUAGCACACCAUAAUUAAUAACAAAAUGUUCGCAAUGACUACAUUAUGAAUAUAAUAAAACACCACUAACUACAUAUUCUGGUAUUUCACAAUGGCCUUCCCCCCUUCAUACAGCACUGUGUGGAUUAGCAAAACUGUGCGUGAUCUAACAUAUCAAGACUUUUGGCUUCAUUGUUGCCAUCUGAGUCAGUACGAUAUAGAGAAGAAAGCCAAGGUUUGUAAGUUGGGUUAUAUCCAGAGAUUGUUUGUUCUUUAUAUUAGAUAAGCAUAAAUUACCAGGAAAUGGGAAGAAGCAAGCCAAGGUUUUAUGGUAUCAGUGAUUUUUUGGGCAACAUCAAUGGAAAGAAAUAGGCUGAUCUGUGGGGAUCUCACAGGCAGCAUGAAUAAGGAGUUGUGGGAUAAAGGCCAUAAUGGUCAUCAUUAUGGGCUUCGGUUUCCUGAGUUUAGAGAUUGUUCUUUUCCGGAUAUUUGCCUUAACUGAAAAGCUGCUAUUAGUUAGUUUUAUGGAGUUCCAAAGACGUGUUGAGUUUAGGAUGAUUAUGCUCACGUUUCUGCUUUGUUUUACCUUGUGGACAUCCAGUCUGCUCUUGUAAGUUUAUUGUUUAAGCAUUAAGAUUUUGUCUCUUUUCAGAAGAGGGAAAAACAGGGACUGGACAGCUGUUGUAUGCUAGCUGUAUAGUGUAUAUUGGGGUGAGAGCGAGUAGGCUUGCAAUGUAUCAGCUUUGCUCAUGCGGUGACUUGGGUCAUAUGGAUGGAGAUAAACAGAAGGAUGUUGAAGAUUUUCUUGAGUUGGUUUCAUGGAGCUCUGAGACGGGAUUCUGUUUCUGGCUAUUCUUUGAACUAUUUUCCUCAGAGUUCAUGGGAAUUUCACUUUCUUUGCUUAGGCUAGAAUGGAAGGUGGCUGUCCUAUAAUGGCUUUUAGGUCUUUUCCCAGCUGUUUGUGUUGGGUGUUUUAUUUUUUUCUGUGAGGUUCAGAGUUAGUCCUCUUGACCCACCUCUUCAUUGUUUUUCUUCUCUCUUAAUACCCUUAUCACAUGUCAGCGAAAAAAUAAAACUCCAGAUUUUAGCCCGAGAUCAAAAAGAAAACACAUUAAGGAAAAAAUUUCCACAUUAGAAACCAUAAUCAGGUACAUGGUCAUUGGCUUGCAGGUGGGAUUGGAUGGUAGUUCCGAUGGGUGGAUGGGUGGAUGGGUGGGUAGGUGAUAUUUGGAUGGUGGUGUGUUUUUGCUAAGACAGAGAAAGGUAGGCCCCACUAUGCCAUGUGCCAGCCAACAAAAGGCCACAUCAAGGCAAAACUCAGCAAUAAGGAAUAAGAAUCAUCAGAUCUGCAGUUCAGAUACCUGUCUCACUGAUAGCUAAACUUAUUCUCAAGUGGACAGCGUCUAGAUUUUGUCUUUUUCCAUACAGUCACUACAGAACAUAAUGGUUCAAAGAGCCAAUCAUCUUAUCAGUACUAGUAGAUUGAAUUGAACUUUAAAUAUUAACCAUUACCCUCUCCCCCAACAAUCAUACACUCUCCAUGCUACAAAGACACCAACCUAAAGGGGAUUUAUCUGUUUUUCCUUUUUGGCCCGGGUAUACUAUCAGUGCAAUAAAAUAAACCAUUACUAACCUAAACGACAUUGAAGUGUUUGUUUCUGUCGAGCCAAUUUCUCCCUUGGGUUCUUCAUAUGAUCAUUUGCAACAUCAUACUCCUGUUCCAAAAAUGCAAGCAUCCAUUAUAAAGAAGAAAUGAAGACUCAAACAAAGCAUAUUUUUUUGAGUCAGAAAACAAGCAUGAUCAAAAGCACACAAAAGAUAUUAACCAAAUUAGGCCAUCCUCUUGCACAAACAAACAUCUGCAAUUCAAAAGGCAGGAUCCACAAUUCUUUUUAUCUUUUAUAAGAAGCAAAGAUAUUAUUUAAAAUCAGAAAAGUGAUCCAUUCAAGAAUUAUUAAAAUGCGUCAGCCUUUUUAUAUAUCAUUUAAUUAAGUAAUGAGGCAACUUAUCUAUUCAUUUUAUGAAGCCAUAGGUCAUCUAAGAAUAGCACAAAUCAAUGAGCAACAUAACUCCUUUUAGAAAUUUAGAUAUGAAUAAUCAUUAAAAUAAAUUAAAUUAAAUUGAACAAAAGUAAAAAUAAAAUAUGGAGAGCACUAUAACUCCAUCUCUGAUCUCUUUAUUUUAUUUAAUAUAUCUUUAGUCUACAAUGUGCCACAGAUACAUAAAUAAAUAGUUUAAAAUGGCUAGACUGGCCUAUUAAUGUUUCCCACGAUUAUCUUGUUGUAAAUAUGAACAAACAUUAACACACACAUAAAUAAUAGAAUUGCACCUUGACAUGGACAAUUUGAAGAAACUGCCUAUUUAAAUUACAUAAUCAAACAGUGAAAUUUAGACAUCUUCCCUCUUUGACAUAAGUGCAAUUAUGUCAACAAACAUACAAUAGACACUGCAUUACCUGUCCCCCAGAUGCAAACAGAGCACCAAACUCCAAAACCUUUCUGAGAUCGAAGCUGUUAAGAAAAUUCAAAGUUAGAUAAACAGCCAUGCCUCCAAGAAGACUCGUGUAUUCACAGGCACAAAUCAAGAGCCAACCAAACAGGAGCACUACAAGUGUAUACAAUAAUGUCGCACCUUCUAAAUGACGUGCCAGCAAUGUUUGAAUCAAAAAUAGGGAAAGCAACCAUAUCUUCAACAGCACCAGAUAUCCCAGCAUCAGACAUCUUCGAUUUAAUACAAGUAAAGAGUUCAAUCAAAGAGGUGUGCUUCACAUUCUCAGCAAUAGCCCCAACAGCAUGAGCGGCAGCAACCCUUGUAUCCCAGUUUUUGCUAUGAAGAUAUUGUGAAACCUAAUCUCGCAAGUUACAUAAGUUAAAGACAGAUUUUUUCACAAAAAAAGAAAUCAAUAAAUUCAAAAUGGAAUAUGUAAGAAACAAAAAUCUAAGCUAUACGUCAAACAAACCAACUAUAGGCUAGAGCAUCUAUCAACUGUUGUGAUUUACGACUCAAACUUAGGAUGAUGCAGAAAUUAGAUUUGUGUUACCUAUUUCGUUUUGUUAAUUACCUAUUUGAUUAGAAUUUGGAUUUACUUCGAAUUAGGAUUAUUCUCAUUGUAACCUAAGACCUAUGCACUAUAAAAAGGACCUUAGAGUUAGUUUAUUUUGUGUGCCUUACCAUGAGCGUAGGGAAUUUUCUCUCAUUGGGUUUUGGGUGGAGGUUACCGUUGGGAGUCAUGAGUGUGUGGCAAAUUCUUGGCUCAUUCAUUUGGCAAUUUGGUGAGAAUCAGUUUGUGAGUUUGAGAGUUAGAGAACAAUUUGGGAGAAUCUCCUCCGUUUGAUUGCUUUGGGCUCUCUAUUUGUUUGGUUUAGGGUUUGUAUUUUGUGGGAUUUGGUUGUGAGAAUUUAAACACUCUUUUAUAAUCUCCGUUUGUUUAGUGAAAUUCCUCGCUAUGCUUCGCCUGUGGAAAUAGGACGCCGAACCACGUUAAUCUCUUGUGUUCUUAUUUUGAGAUUGUUUGUUUCUUCGCUUUUGCCUACGACGUCGAUAUUUGGUACUUUGUUUGAAUUCGCUUUCGCUUGCACAUAAAAGUACAACAUCAACAAAAAACAAAACAAAGAGAAAAUAAUGCAACAGUUAGUGGGUAAGGGUUUCAUAUAUUUGUUCUUUCUUUUGAGAAGGGAAACGGUUUCAUAUAUUUUUUCUUUCUUCUGAGAGGAAACGCAAAAAUCAUUGGCAGUCAGUUUCAACUCGUAGUUGAUUAACCCUGUUUUUUUAGUGUUUCAUGCAUUUGUAACCCUUAAUUAAAGAUGGAAGGACAACAUGUAGAUGCGUUAUGUUAUUGUAAAAGAAAAUCAGAAUGGUUGGGACAGGUUUUGAGGUUUCGUGGUAUUUCGUAGUGCAGUUUGGCAUGCCUUUGGGUUAGCUGUCUUUUAAGAAAUGUUUAUUUUUUAUUUUGGAUUCCUGACAAUAGAAAUGUUACUGUUGAAGUUCAUUCUUAAUAUAAGGCUCUUGUUUAAGUACAACAACAACAACAACAACAACAAAGCCUUUUCCCACUAAGUGGGGUCGGCUAUAUGAAUCCUAGAACGCCAUUGCGCUCGGUUUUGUGUCAUGUCCUCCGUUAGAUCCAAGUACUCUAAGUCUUUUCUUAGAGUCUCUUCCAAAGUUUUCCUAGGUCUUCCUCUACCCCUUCGGCCCUGAACCUCUGUCCCGUAGUCACAUCUUCGAACCGGAGCGUCAGUCGGCCUUCUUUGCACAUGUCCAAAUCACCAGAGCCGAUUUUCUCUCAUCUUUCCUACAAUUUCGGCUACUCCUACUUUACCUCGGAUAUCCUCAUUCCCAAUCUUAUCCUUUCUCGUGUGCCCACACAUCCCAUGAAGCAUCCUCAUCUCCGCUACACCCAUUUUGUGUACGUGUUGAUGCUUCACCACCCAACAUUCUCUGCCAUACACCAUCGCUGGCCUUAUUGUCGUCCUAUAAAAUUUUCCCUUGAGCUUCAGUGGCCUACGACGGUCACACAACACGCCGGAUGCACUCUUUCCAUCCAGCUCGUAUUCUAUGGUUGAGAUCUCCAUCUAAUUCUCCGUUCUCUUGCAAGAUAGAUCCUAGGUAACGAAAACGGUCGCUUUUUGUGAUCUUCGCUAGAUUGCUCCGGUCAUUAGUGUGGAUAAGUAUAUAAAUGGAUAGAGAUAGGAAAGCAAACACAAGAUGUACGUGGUUCACCCAGAUUGGCUACGUCCACGGAAUAGAAGAGUUCUCAUUAAUUGUGAAGGGUUUACACAAGUACAUAGGUUCAAGCUCUCCUUUAGUGAGUACGAGUGAAUGACCUCGUAAUCACGAAACUUCUAAGUAUCGGAGUGUGGUGUCGUCUUGACUUGCCUUAUCUGUCUCAUAGGUAGAUGUGGCAUCUUCUCUGGAAGUACUCUUCCUCCAUCCAGGGGUGGUAUCUUUAACUGGUGGAGAUGCACAAGGUAAUGUAUCAAUUUCACUUGAAGCUUACUUGUAGUUUCAGGCUUGGUCAAGCGCGAUACAAACCAUGUAGUAGGAGUCCCCCAAGUCGCCGAGCUAGGGGGUCUGCUGAAAGAGGUGACAGACAAGGUAAGCAAUCAGAGCUCCGACUGAUUGUUCACCUUCUCCCCAUCUUGCAGCAGCAUGAAGGAUAAAGAGAAGAAAAAAAUGAGAAGAGAUGAUAUGAGAUACUUUUGCUUUUGAAGAAGUAACUUUCCACAGGCUUAUUCUUGAACUGAGCUGGAGGGUUUUCUGGUUUCCUCCAGAGUAUAAGGCCGACUGAAGAAUUUGAGGGUCAAAACAAGUCCAUCAAAUCUAGAGUACGUUCCACCCUGCUGAUAUGGGAUACUUUUGCUUUUGACAGAGUAAUGGAUGUAUCGGCACGUGUGCUGUUACGCUUGUCUCCACAUGCUUCCUUGUAUAUCCUUCGCACUUGCCCUAUCUGUUCCUCAAGCAGAUGCGGAAUCUUCCCUGGAAACAUAAGAUGUUGAAGAUGAGUACUCGAGAGCAGCAAUGCCAGGUAAGUAAUCAGGUAAGGGGUUCCAGGUAGUCAGUUCCUGGCUGGAAGCUUGAUUCCAAGUGCUGACUGAUUGCUCUCUUUCUCCUUGUCUUGCAGGUAAAAAACAAGGCCAAAAGAAAAACAGGGAAAAAGCAUGAUAUGGGAUACUCUUGCUUUUAACCCUGAUGAUAUGAGAUAUUCUUGCUCUAGUAUAGCUUGUUUGCAGAGGUAUUAUCGGGGGGAAAGAAAGCUGAAUAUUUCGAAAGGCUUUGUUGGGAGUGCCCUCUCAGAUAUGAUGAAGGGUUGAGCAUUUUUGCAGGUCUGCCUGUCCGUUGGGGAUGGAGGUCGACAUAUAUAGGAGUCUCCCUAACAACAAGUAGUAAUGCUAUUCCUUUACCCUGCUUGGUCAUAGCACGGUAGUGGGAGCUGCCAGUUUCACAUGUUUUAACUCUGUCAGAGCACUUUGAAAAAGUGGUCUGUGGUAUCUGGCUCUCGAGAUUCGGAGAACAAUGCCUCUUCGAUUUUUGAGAAAGCAAUCAUGCUGGGGGUCUGACUCUCGAGAUUCGGAGAGCAGUGUCUCUUCGAUUUUUGAGGAAGUAAUCAUGUUGGGAGUCUGGCUCUCGAGAUUCGGAGGGCGGUGCCUCUUCGAUUUUGGAGCAAGCAAUCUUGUUAGGAGUGUUGUCUCGAAUGUGAGUAAAGGUUGGACAUGUUUGCUAGUCUAGUCUACCUUGCCACGAAGCACAAAGGUUGACACACAGGGACUUUCCAAUUAUCCAGCAAUGGUACUGUUCCUUUACCCUCUCUCUUCGAUUUUGAGAAAGUAGUCAUGUUGGGAGUCUGGCUCUCGAGAUUCGGAGGACGGUGCCUCUUCGAUUUUGGAGCAAGCAAUCUUGUUGGGACUGUUUUCUCGAAUGUGAGUAAAGGUUGGGCAUGUUUUGCUAGUCUACCUUGCCACGAAGCACAGAGGUUGACACACAGGGACUUUCCAAUUAUCCAGCAGUGGUACUGUUCCUUUACCCUUGUGGGUAAUAAUAUGGUAGCUAGACCUUCAAAAUUUAUGUGUCUAAACUUUGUUAGUGCUGUUUCUUUGCUAUUCUUUUACCUUUUUUUGGUCAGAGCGAUGUAGUGGGAGCUGCAAGCUUCACGUGCUCAACUUUGGCAGAGAACUUUGGCAAAGUGAUCUGUGGUACCCAUGAGUUAUUGUUGCGUGUGGGAAGUGGGUGAUUGAACAGUAAGAUUCAUGUGCUUUCUACUUCACCAGAAGUCUUCGACAGAAUGCCCAUAAUUUCUGCAAAGCUGAGUGUGCGUGUGACAGGUGCUGACAAGGCUAGAAAAGUAGGUGCCUCUUCGAUUUCUGAGAUCGGCCCUCGUGGUCUCUGAGCAGCCCAGCUUUUGAGAAAGCGAACGUCUCUUUCGAUUGAUUCGGAGAACGGUGCCUCACCGAUUUUUGAGAAAGCAAUCAUGCUGGGGGUCUGGCUCUCGAGAUUCGGGGAGCAGUGUCUCUUCGAUUUUUGAGAAAGUAAUCAUGUUGGGAGAGUGGCUCUCGAGAUUCGGAGGGCGGUGCCUCUUCGAUUUUGGAGCAAGCAAUCUUGUUGGGAGUGUUUUCUCGAAUGUGAGUAAAGGUUGGGCAUGUUUGCUAGUCUACCUUGCCACGAAGCACAGAGGUUGACACACAGAGACUUUCCAAUUAUCCAGCAAUGGUACUGUUCCUUUACCCUCUCUUCGAUUUUUAAGAAAGUAGUCAUGUUGGGAGUCUGGCUCUUUAGAUUCGGAGGACGGUGCCUCUUCGAUUUUGGAGCA
RNAcentral lists this long non-coding RNA (17835 nucleotides) under Malus domestica (apple). RNAcentral's name for it is "long non-coding RNA (MDOM_LNC009792)". The record is from RNAcentral. Lineage: Eukaryota; Viridiplantae; Streptophyta; Magnoliopsida; Rosales; Rosaceae.